RNAcentral lists this ribosomal RNA (164 nucleotides) under uncultured bacterium. RNAcentral's name for it is "partial 16S rRNA". It matches the Rfam family "Bacterial small subunit ribosomal RNA", at positions 355 to 511 of the family's 1533-position model. The record is from RNAcentral.
UAGGGAAUCUUCCACAAUGGACGCAAGUCUGAUGGAGCAACGCCGCGUGAGUGAAGAAGGUCUUCGGGUCGUAAAACUCUGUUGUUAGAGAAGAACACGAGUGAGAGUAACUGUUCAUUCGAUGACGGUAUCUAACCAGCAAGUCACGGCUAACUACGUGUCAG